CAAGCCUUCAAAUCUGAAUUGGCUGAGAUAGCUGAGGCGCAUGACCGGGGGCUGCAACGCAAGUCGCUUCUGCACAUGGCGGCUGGCACGUCUGCAGUACCCUCUGCGACAGUGGAAGUGGCCUUCACCGGCCGCAGGAGCGAAGCUAGCAGCAGCGGUGCGCCGCGUAAGCAGAAGUCGAAGCAGCGGCCGCCCAAGAAAGGUCGCCUGACUCAGUGGAACGGCAGCGACAUCCGAG
Molecule: long non-coding RNA, 238 nt
Organism: Amphibalanus amphitrite
Lineage: Eukaryota; Metazoa; Arthropoda; Thecostraca; Balanomorpha; Balanidae
Exons: 3
Source: RefSeq, a predicted model, not a curated record